Molecule: long non-coding RNA, 2163 nt
Filed under: Volvox carteri
Lineage: Eukaryota; Viridiplantae; Chlorophyta; Chlorophyceae; Chlamydomonadales; Volvocaceae
Description: long non-coding RNA (VCAR_LNC003195)
Source: RNAcentral
UCGGCAGGACUUGAGGAGAUUCCUAUGAGGAAUACCGAUCGUAGUGAGAUAAACAAAUAAGCGCAGUCACCGCCCUAAAUACCGGCGCUAGCGGAAAACUCGUACAUUCCGCGAUCUAACUGCACGUACAUUCCGCGAUCUCACUGCGCCGUCCUGACGGUGCCCUAAUGUCUAUCACUUAGCUACCGGAUAUGCAUCGGUAGCCCAUAAGGUUCUGGGGUAAGUCUUCCCCAUUAGACAGGCGCAGACCCGUGGUCAAAUCCCCUGGUCGACAACCACACGAGUUGGGAGAGGACCGUUUCCUCAACAAACCCGAACCAUUUGGUGAAGGUUCAGGCAUAGGUCCACACACAUCCAUGUGAAUGAGUGCGAGAGGCUGUGCUGCCUUAUGCCCAGAUAAUGGAAAAGGACCCCGAGUAUGCUUUGCAAGGACGCAAGUCUCACACACACACGCGCUGGCUAAUUGUAUGCUGUGUCGGUCAACAUCGAACCCAGUUACCAUAUUGUGACGCAGCAACGCCUCAAGGUUGCUGUAUCCCAAGUGGCCAUACCGUCAGUGCCAAAGUGCUGCACGUUCAGCUCCGAUAUCCACGGCAGCACACACUGCACCACCACCAGAAGGCAUCCUGUUGUCUUCACGCUGCGUCCACUUCAGAGCGCCCGUACCUCCACUGCUGUAGCAGACGGGAUACAAGUCCCCGUCCCGCUUUCCAGUCAGCACCAACUGGUUCUGUACGUAUACUUUCACCUGUCCGCCACCGAAGACCACACUGCCUCCACGAUCAUCAAUGAUGCGGACCGAUAGGAUUUUGGCGGUGGCCUCCUCGUCGACGUAGACCUUCUUAAAAGUGAUGGCCUGUUUAUCGUUGACGUUAGACCGAAUCAUAACCGUGCCAACUUUAUGUCGGCCAAAGAGACUGUCCCUUGAUGCCCAUGAUGUUGAAGCGCUCCCAUGUUGGGUUGGCACGGGUACUAUACUAGAAAAGAGUACUAUACUAUAAAAGUACUAUGCAUAGUACUAUUUACUAUGCAGGGCUCUUAACUGGUACUAGUUUACGACGCUCGUACCGCGUUCGUACAUAGUAAAAUAGUAUAGUAAAAAUAGUACUAGAUAGUAUUGAAGAAUUGGCGACGGUGACGGCUAACGCUGAUUGUUAUUCCGGAAGGAUUGCCGCUGGCGAAGAUAUUUAGCACGAUAAACUGUUACAAGUAAUGUAUAGAGUAUUAUUAGCGUUCGGCAGGACUUGAGGAGAUUCCUAUGAGGAAUACCGAUCGUAGUGAGAUAAACAAAUAAGCGCAGUCACCGCCCUAAAUACCGGCGCUAGCGGAAAACUCGUACAUUCCACGAUCUAACUGCACGUACAUUCCGCGAUCUCACUGCGCCGUCCUGACGGUGCCCUAAUGUCUAUCACUUAGCUACCGGAUAUGCAUCGGUUGUUGGAAAUGACCGACACUCAUAUACCAGUGAAUGGUAGCCACAGUAAUAGGACCCAACGGGGGUCCGGCGCUUUGCUGGUCUUAACAGGUUAUGAGCCCCGAAUGGCGCAUUGCGCUGCCGAGAGGUCGCCGGAUCGAUACCCACUGGCUGUUGCCCAGAGAAUGGGAGACCGGGAUGAGGCACGGGAAGGCCCGGAGCGAGAGAGUGUCGCUCACGGGGGGGUGUUGGAAAUGACCGACACUCAUAUACCAGUGAAUGGUAGCCACAGUAAUAGGACCCAACGGGGGUCCGGCGCUUUGCUGGUCUUAACAUCGGUAGCCCAUAAGGUUCUGGGGUAAGCCUUCCCCAUUAGUCAGGCGCAGACCCGGGGUCAAAUCCCCUGGUCGACAACCACACGAGUUGGGAGAGGACCGUUUCCUCAACACGUCCCCUCGGGCCGUAUCCCAACGAGUACCAAGUUCACCUGCACACUUCACACAAGGCCCAUCGCAUCUCGGCAACGUUUGAACUUCACCUCGCCCAGAGCCUUCGUUAGCACAUCCGCAACCAUCCACUCCGUAGGGCAGUAUUCCAACUGCACCUCACCACUAUUCACCCUCUCACGCACUAUGUGAUGCUGCACGUCGAUGUGCUUCGACCGAGCAGACGUAAUCGGGUUAUUUCCCAAGCUAAGCGCCCCCUGGGAAUCUAUUUGGAUUCUGAUAGCGCUCUCAGGCAAACCCAAA